ACACGUAGGGGGCGAGCGUUGUUCGGAAUCAUUGGGCGUAAAGGGCGUGCAGGCGGUCGUGCAAGUCCGGCGUGAAAGACCCCGGCCCAACCGGGGGGACGCGCUGGAAACUGCAGGGCUUGAGUACAGGAGGGGAUGCCGGAAUUCCAGGUGUAGGGGUGAAAUCUGUAGAUAUCUGGAAGACCACCAAUGGCGAAGGCAGGCAUCCGGCCAUGUACUGACGCUGAGACGCGAAGGUGCGGGGAGCAAACAGGUUUAGAUACCCUGGUAGUCCGCACAGUAAACGAUGUGCACCAGGUGGCGGGGGGUCGACCCCCGGUACCGUAGCUAACGCAUUAAGUGCACCGCCUGGGGAGUAUGCUCGCAAGGGUGAAACUCAAAGGAAUUGACGGGG
RNAcentral lists this ribosomal RNA (394 nucleotides) under uncultured bacterium. RNAcentral's name for it is "partial 16S ribosomal RNA". It matches the Rfam family "Bacterial small subunit ribosomal RNA", at positions 523 to 918 of the family's 1533-position model. The record is from RNAcentral.